UUUUUUUUUUAAGAUUUAUUUAUUUAUUUAUUUAUUUGACAGAGAGAGAGACAGCCAGCGAGAGAGGGAACACAAGCAGGGGGAGUGGGAGAGGAAGAAGCAGCCUCCCAGCAGAGAAGCCUGAUAUGGGGCUCGAUCCCAGAAUGCUGGGAUCACGCCCUGAGCCGAAGGCAGACGCUUAACGACUGUGCCAUCCAGGCACCCCUGCAUGGUUUUUUUCUAAUAUUGUCCUCACUGAAAAAAGAACCGAGAGGGGGUGACAUGCCAAGCAGCCACGUAGGAGCCCGUGUGGAAGAGGACAAAUCCCCAUUCUGCUCAUGAGUCAGCCACUCCGUCAAGACGAAAGUUAGAAACAAAGCAGAUUUGGGAGGCUACAAUCAAGGUCAUUUGAGAAGUAGGACCCAGUGUAUUACCAUUACCUAUGGGCAUCCACAAAGAAAUUUACAGACGUGGGAAAGGCUAGAUAAUGAGAAUGCUCCAUAAGGAGGCACUGAAUUUCACCAGGGAGAAAUGCAUCUAAGUUGCUUCACAAACGUUAAGAAAUAUACCUACAU
Molecule: long non-coding RNA, 554 nt
Filed under: Ailuropoda melanoleuca (giant panda)
Lineage: Eukaryota; Metazoa; Chordata; Mammalia; Carnivora; Ursidae
Description: lncRNA (ENSAMEG00000024361.1)
Source: RNAcentral